RNAcentral lists this long non-coding RNA (832 nucleotides) under Apteryx owenii (little spotted kiwi). RNAcentral describes it as "lncRNA (ENSAOWG00000009349.1)". Lineage: Eukaryota; Metazoa; Chordata; Aves; Apterygiformes; Apterygidae. The record is from RNAcentral.
CAGAAUGUGUUUUGACUCAGUUUAAUGUCUUUUUCAGGCUGAUGAUCUUUCUUCUACAUUUCCUCGCUGAUCACCUGAGGCUUGCCCCACAGCCAUGGGGAAUCAGAUGAGGGCAAUGCUGAUCUAUCUGAAGUACAAAGACACCUUCCUCUUGACCACUGUCCUUGGGUUGGGGCGGAUGCAAGGUAGGAGGAGCAGAGGGCUGAGCCAGGACAUCGUCCACCAGAGAAGUCCGGCUGGCUCCUAACCUGUCAUUUCUGAGAAUCUGGUUUCCAGGCCUCUGAUUCACCCAAAGGGGCUUCCUUGCCUCCAUCACGGCAGGAUGCAGAGGUGCCCGUGCUGACUCUGAGCGAGGAGGUUUGCAGUCCAGAAGCAGCAGGGCUGUUUUAAAUGAGGCUCUGCCCAGGGUAAUCAGCCCAUCUUGACAAACACAAGAUGUUAUUCCUUGCUACAGGGCCUUCUACCCAAGCGGCCUCCGGAGAGCGUAAUAGUGAACGACAGCCCCAGUUGUGCCUUGGGCAACGCCGCAUCCCCGGACGGCGCCUGCGGGUCCCUCCGCUGCCGGUCCACAGCCUCCGCGGGGGCCUCACGGAUUUUCCCUGCUGGUUCCCGGUUCAGGUGCGCACGUCCCAGCUGCAGCAACCCUCCUCCUCCUCCUCCUUCUCCUCCUCCUCCUCCUCCUCCUCCUCCUCCUCCUGCUCCUGCCCGGCGCACGGUUUCCCGGCGCACGUGGCCGGGAGGGGAGCCGGCGCGCGGAGCAGCGGUGCAGCUGCGAACGGCCGCGCUGCCAAGCGGGACCGGCUUCGCGCGGGGAAUAAUUGCUAGGUGCUUU